CCUACGGGUCGCAGCAGUGGGGAAUAUUGCACAAUGGGCGCAAGCCUGAUGCAGCCAUGCCGCGUGUAUGAAGAAGGCCUUCGGGUUGUAAAGUACUUUCAGCGGGGAGGAAGGUGUUGUGGUUAAUAACCGCAGCAAUCGACGUUACCCGCAGAAGAAGCACCGGCUAACUCCGUGCCAGCAGCCGCGGUAAUACGGAGGGUGCAAGCGUUAAUCGGAAUUACUGGGCGUAAAGCGCACGCAGGCGGUCUGUCAAGUCGGAUGUGAAAUCCCCGGGCUCAACCUGGGAACUGCAUUCGAAACCGGCAGGCUAGAGUCUUGUAGAGGGGGGUAGAAUUCCAGGUGUAGCGGUGAAAUGCGUAGAGAUCAGGAGGAACACCAGUGGCGAAGGCGGCCUGCUGGACAUUAACUGACGCUGAGGAGCGAAAGCGUGGGGAGCAAACAGGAUUAGAUACCCGCGUAGUC
This 465-nucleotide ribosomal RNA is filed under the name uncultured bacterium. RNAcentral describes it as "bacterial SSU rRNA". It matches the Rfam family "Bacterial small subunit ribosomal RNA", at positions 338 to 795 of the family's 1533-position model. The record is from RNAcentral.